GGANCAGCUAAGCAGGAGGAAUCUACUGUAGGGUGAAUCGGAGGAGAGCAGUAANCUAUAUACUGUUGCUGGCAGGCGCGGCUAGGGUCUCCGUGACCCUCCCGGACCUCCCGCCCCCGUGGCGGGUCGGCGCCCGCCGGAGGAUAACCAAACUCUGAUUUAACGACGCUUUCUUCUGAGUGGUACAAGCAAAUAAUCAAAACUUUUAACAACGGAUCUCUUGGCUUCUGGCAUCGAUGAAGAACGCAGCGAAAUGCGAUAAGUAAUGUGAAUUGCAGAAUUCAGUGAAUCAUCGAAUCUUUGAACGCACAUUGCGCCCGCCAGCAUUCUGGCGGGCAUGCCUGUUCGAGCGUCAUUUCAACCCUCAAGCUCUGCUUGGUGUUGGGGCCCUACAGCUGAUGUAGGCCCUCAAAGGUAGUGGCGGACCCUCCCGGAUCCCUCCUUUGCNGUAGUAACUUUACGUCUCGCACUGGGAUCCGGAGGGACUCUUGCCGUAAAACCCCAAUUUUCCAAAGGUUGACCUCGGAUCAGGUAGGAAUACCCGCUGAACUUAAGCAUAUCAAUAAGCGGAA
Molecule: ribosomal RNA, 572 nt
Filed under: Colletotrichum gloeosporioides
Lineage: Eukaryota; Fungi; Ascomycota; Sordariomycetes; Glomerellales; Glomerellaceae
Description: eukaryotic LSU rRNA
Rfam family: 5.8S ribosomal RNA (bases 201-355)
Source: RNAcentral